ACUCCCGAAUGCAACAGCGUCCCAGGUGGAGCCUAUUGCAGUGACGAGACGAGCACCUGCCAGUGCUAUCCGUUAUUUACUACAUCGAGCACGGAAUGCACACCUACGAAUUGCAUUAUGGAUACGGACUGUCAUUAUGGCACAAUUCCACAGACUAUGAGAUGCUUGAAUGGUCAAUGCACUUGUGAUGUCACCGCAGACAUAACGCCCAGAGGAUGUAAAACUAAAAAGCUGGGAAGUCCGUGUUACAGCACGGACGAUUGCUCACACAUAAACGGUUCGAUAUGUGGGCCGGACGAGACUCGAACAUGUGUGUGCGGCGACAGUUAUAAUAACAUUGCGGGAAAUUGCUAUCCGAAAGGGUUGCGACAAAGUUGUCACGACACUAGUGACUGCAGACAUUUGUCACAUUCGGGUUGCUACGCAUUUUCCGGUACAGAGAAGACUUGCCAAUGUGACUUCGGAUACUCCUCGGACGAAUUUGAAGUCUGUCAUUCGAAUGGGGAUAUAAACAUACCCGAUCCUUACUCACCGCAUUAUCCAGUCGGUUCAUGUCAACAUGAUGAUGACUGCUCUCGUUCCUUGUGGUGGACCUACUGUGACC
Molecule: long non-coding RNA, 604 nt
Organism: Dreissena polymorpha
Lineage: Eukaryota; Metazoa; Mollusca; Bivalvia; Myida; Dreissenidae
Exons: 5
Source: RefSeq, a predicted model, not a curated record